Molecule: long non-coding RNA, 354 nt
Organism: Toxotes jaculatrix (banded archerfish)
Lineage: Eukaryota; Metazoa; Chordata; Actinopteri; Toxotidae
Exons: 3
Source: RefSeq, a predicted model, not a curated record
CCGGAUGUGACUCUUCAGACUGUACUGGCUGCUAAAAGUCUUCUCACAGCCGUCACUUGGACAGUUGAAUGGCUUCUCCCCUACAGAGAUGGAACAAUACAGAAAGAAUGUGAAAGGGACAGCGAAGCGCCACAAGUGACUAGUUUGGUUUUCUGUCCCUGUGGAAAUUCGGUCUGUGCCUGUGGCAAUCAUAACAAAUUACAUCAUAAUAUGACAACAAUGACAAAGACAAAAACACAGAAAUGGUGUGAUGCACAUAGCCCUGUGACAUGGCAUCAGGGUCAGCCAUAAAAGCCAGAGAGCCCUCCUCCUCGUCUCCAUCACCUUCGCCCUCUGUUAAGAAGGUUACUCCAU